This is a long non-coding RNA of Lotus japonicus, 1067 nucleotides long. RefSeq lists it as uncharacterized. The transcript has 3 exons. Lineage: Eukaryota; Viridiplantae; Streptophyta; Magnoliopsida; Fabales; Fabaceae. The record is from RefSeq and is a predicted model, not a curated record.
AUAUUUUUUCUUUUCAAAUGUAUUUCCAAAACAUGUCAUGCAUACUCCCAACUACAAAACCUAACCAAUAGAAACAACUCAACAAAAACUAUUAUGCAAUGACACCAUGAAUCCGACACACUCCCUACGAUCUCCACAUCGGGGAACCGCAGGAAAGCAAUGCAUCGGAACCUACCCGAAACCUCAAAUAUAAAUUCCUAAAAUCUUUAUGCAAGCUUAAACCAAUAACGGUAAGCUCUCUAACCCAAGGCUUUAGCCUUAAACCCGACUCUACUUGAAAUGAUCCGCUUUAUUUAAAAAAAAAAAAGGUUCAUCAACGAAAGAAUAAAAAAAAAGGGAAAAGGAAAAAAAAAAUUAAUUAACAAACUUAAAAAAAAAAAAGAGACCACGUAAAACCCCACUACCCAAUUCCUAUUUCAAAUAAAACCCACCAUCCACCCAUUAUAUUUUUAUCCAAUUCAGAACUGUAUACCCUUCUCUCUCUCUCUCGUUCUAAUUCUUCCCUGUGCAAAAAGAACCAACGCCGCAGUUCCUCACUUAUCUCCCUCCGUCUUCUUUUCUUCUUCACAAAACAGAAUUUGCACAAAAAUCCAACAAUAAAAAAUACACACUCAUAAGGAGAAUUUCAGUAUUCAAGUAGAAGGGAUUUGAAGAUAACAUUUUGAGAGUUAGGGUUUGUGCUCUGAAAGAGGAAAAGAGUACCCACCCUUUUAGGAUUGCUUAUUUUGGCUUCUUUGAGAUUCAACGGCGAGUAGGUCGUUCGGUGGUCGUGGGAUUGUUGAAAUCAAUUGCGUUGAUUCGUCGUAGUUAUUUUCAGGCAACUGAGUAGCAGACUGUUGUCAGAUUCAGAUCAUUCGACUUAAUUCCUUUGGCAGGUUGUCAUGUUGGUGUCUCUUAUUUAAUCCUAGUUAUCUGCAGCUAUAGGGAGUCAUAGGUGGAUUUAGAUUUGGGAUUGCGAUUUAUUGUUAGAUUUUAAGAGUUGACACUUGAGUGCUUAAGUUGAUUUUAUAUUUCACUUAAAAUACUGGUUAUGAAAGAACUUAUUGGCAGAUGUUGUUAAUUUGUAA